GCAGAGUGUGUGUUUGUAUGAGUGUGUGUGUAUAUAAUGCAGAGUGUGUGCAUUAUAUACACACACACUCAUACAAACACACACUCUGCAU
This is a non-coding RNA of Pelobates cultripes (western spadefoot toad), 91 nucleotides long. Lineage: Eukaryota; Metazoa; Chordata; Amphibia; Anura; Pelobatidae. The record is from the annotation of a GenBank genome assembly.